Molecule: RNA transcript, 1846 nt
Organism: Paramacrobiotus metropolitanus
Lineage: Eukaryota; Metazoa; Tardigrada; Eutardigrada; Parachela; Macrobiotidae
Exons: 4
Source: RefSeq, a predicted model, not a curated record
AGGCGUUUUUUAAGCUUUCGGGGAGAGAGUACAUAUAAUAAUAAUAAUAAUAGUAGAGAAUUUCGAAUGUAAUUUUGACGUAAGGUUCUGAUUUAAUCAUUUCCGGUUAGAUCAUACGGUUCGGCGAACUUUCGGCGCGCAUGUGCAACAUUCGAUCAUGACGUGUACCAGCGCUGCGUACGAAACACCAGUCUGUUUCGAGUGAAAUUAUCAGCGAUGUACGGUUAAACAUGGUGAUUACGAGGUGUCGUGGUUUAUUUCUUGUGAGUCAGUUUCAAAACGGGAAUAUUCACGCGGAGUGCGACUGAUUUAUUUUUCGAUAUUACUACAGCUUGCGAUGAUAGUGGUGCAGCUGGUGCUUGAAAAUAUGCGGUUUCUAUUUGUGUUUUAGCAGUACGAACCGUUGUUUAUGUUGCGUUUGGCGUUGCUGAAAUCGAAUCAGUAUUUCUGGACAGAUAUUUUCCGGAUUUCAUCCGUUUUAUUAAUUUGCCAUCUUGGAUAUUUUUAAAUUUUUACUUUUUACAAAUUGGUGGUUAUAUUUUUAAUUUGGUCAUUGCUUAAAAAUUGUUGAUCUGGGAUUCUGGGUGACGAUUAUUGCUUUAUCAUUUUUGACUGAUUUAGUGAACGGACGUUGCACCAACCACGGUUUACCUGUCCUUGUUUUAAGACCUAAUUAAUUUUCUCCAUCAAUUUUUAUUCUCAUCGCCCAUCCCAGUUUUGCACGAUGCGAUACAGACGGCAAGCGCUCUCACCCUGUCCACGUGAUCCUCUCGCAUUUCCCGUCCGCCUCUAGUCAUGGUCAGUCCGCAUUCCCCGUCGAGCAGCGACUUCCAGCGUGUCACCCGCUCCAAGACCCGCCUGGCCCCCUCCGAUCCCUCCGACGUCAGUCCCCCCGGCGCCGCCAACAGCGGGAAGGCCCGCAAGCGGAAAAUGAAAGCCGCACAGUCCAACGGCAGUCUUCCCUCUUCGUCAGCCCCCGCGGCCAGCGUCGUGACGGUGGAGACCAACGGGAGUGUGCGUGGGUUCAAGGAUCUCCUGGCGGUGGGAUCGGGCAGCUUCCGACCGCGACUGCCGUCCAGUGCCUCGUUUGAGGAGCGCCGCAAGCGUGAACUGGAGGUGGAGGAGGAUGAUAGGAAGAAAAUCACCCUCUUCCGGUCUCCCUUGAUGACCGUGUAUUAUUUUGUUAUGGAAGUGUCACUUUAGGUACGGGACUUUGGGACCGGGCUCAUUCGCUCCAACCUGAUUAUUCCAUUUGCCCUUUUAUCUGCACUGGUUGUUGUCACAUACAACAUUCAGGGACCGCAUCAGUCGUAUAAUGGCUCUGGAAAGAAAAGAAGCUCUGUUGGUUUCCGGCUGGUUAGUUCCUCCCGCGGUACUUUUCGACAGGCAGCCUGAAAGUCGACAUAUCGUAGCAGAUAGUCAAUGGCUUUUUCCGCUUCAGCCAGACUGCGCAGAAUCCCCGGUUGAAGAUUGCCAUUUGGGAGAACGAUGUCCAGUGGUACAACGUUCUUAACGGUUUGAGCGCUGGCGGACGUUCUGUGAGCACGUCGCCGAUCGAAUUCCUGGAUGGAGUUGGAGAGAUUGGCCAGUUCCUCUUGAACGCUAUCGCGAUGUUUGUAGUAUUGAUCCGCCAUUGCAGCGUUAUAUUAUUAUGAUUGAUCCGAGCGGACUUUCGUUAACCAGAUUCCUGUCCACUAAAUGUUUUUAAACAAGUAGACGAGUGUUUGUGCAUUCUUGACGUACUGCGUGUAGCAGCCACUGUCAGUUCUCAAAUUCUUACCUAGCAGUCUAGCACUACGUAUUAAUAGUACCGAUAGGAAGCGUGAGUUUUGUUGUGCAUGUACAG